This 460-nucleotide ribosomal RNA is filed under the name uncultured bacterium. RNAcentral's name for it is "partial 16S ribosomal RNA". It matches the Rfam family "Bacterial small subunit ribosomal RNA", at positions 338 to 795 of the family's 1533-position model. The record is from RNAcentral.
CCUACGGGAGGCAGCAGUGAGGAAUAUUGGUCAAUGGACGAGAGUCUGAACCAGCCAAGUAGCGUGAAGGAUGACUGCCCUAUGGGUUGUAAACUUCUUUUAUAUGGGAAUAAAGUGUUCUACGUGUGGGAUUUUGUAUGUACCAUAUGAAUAAGGAUCGGCUAACUCCGUGCCAGCAGCCGCGGUAAUACGGAGGAUCCGAGCGUUAUCCGGAUUUAUUGGGUUUAAAGGGAGCGUAGGUGGAAUGUGAAGUCAGUUGUGAAAUGUGGGGGCUCAACCGUAAAAUUGCAGUUGAAACUGGCAGUCUUGAGUACGGUAGAGGUGGGCGGAAUUCGGGGUGUAGCGGUGAAAUGCUUAGAUAUCACGAAGAACUCCGAUUGCGAAGGCAGUUCACUGGACUGCAACUGACACUGAGGCUCGAAAGUGUGGGUAUCGAACAGGAUUAGAUACCCGGGUAGUC